This 433-nucleotide unclassified non-coding RNA is filed under the name soil metagenome. RNAcentral describes it as "partial contains 5.8S ribosomal RNA, internal transcribed spacer 2, and large subunit ribosomal RNA". The stretch from base 1 to 120 matches the Rfam family "5.8S ribosomal RNA", at positions 35 to 154 of the family's 154-position model. The record is from RNAcentral.
GAUGAAGAACGCAGCGAAAUGCGAUACGUAAUGUGAAUUGCAGAAUUCAGUGAAUCAUCGAAUCUUUGAACGCAUAUUGCGCUCUCUGGUAUUCCGGAGAGCAUGCUUGUUUGAGUAUCAGUAAACACCUCAACUUCCAUAUCUUUUUUGAAAUGGGAGUUGGACUUGAGUGAUCCCAACGCUUUUCCUCACCGAAAAGUGGCGGGUUACUUGAAAUGCAGGUGCAGCUGGACUUUUCUCUGAGCUAUAAGCAUAUCUAUUUAGUCUGCCUAAUAAACAGAUUAUUACCUUUGCUGCAGCUAACAUAAAGGAGAUUAGUUCUUGUGCUGACUGAUGCAGGAUUCACAAAGACAGGCUUCGGCCGACUUUGUAAACUCGAUCUCAAAUCAAGUAAGACUACCCGCUGAACUUAAGCAUAUCAAUAAGCGGAGGA